This 405-nucleotide ribosomal RNA is filed under the name uncultured prokaryote. RNAcentral describes it as "bacterial SSU rRNA". It matches the Rfam family "Bacterial small subunit ribosomal RNA", at positions 355 to 774 of the family's 1533-position model. The record is from RNAcentral.
UGGGGGAUAUUGCACAAUGGGCGAAAGCCUGAUGCAGCAACGCCGCGUGAGGGAAGACGGUUUUCGGAUUGUAAACCUCUGUCUUCGGCGAAGAAACAAAUGACGGUAGCCGAGGAGGAAGCCACGGCUAACUACGUGCCAGCAGCCGCGGUAAUACGUAGGUGGCAAGCGUUGUCCGGAAUUACUGGGUGUAAAGGGAACGCAGGCGGGGAGACAAGUCAGCUGUGAAAACUAUGGGCUUAACCCAUAAACUGCAGUUGAAACUGUUUUUCUUGAGUGGAGUAGAGGUAGGCGGAAUUCCGAGUGUAGCGGUGAAAUGCGUAGAUACUCGGAGGAACACCAGUGGCGAAGGCGGCCUACUGGGCUCUAACUGACGCUGAGGCUCGAAAGUGUGGGGAGCAAACA